UGUCCUCUCCUGGGACGAGUCCUUUUGCGGAAUCCCACCGAGGCAGCGUCCCCUCCACCCCCUGCACCCCGGGCCCAGCUGUCUCUGGAUGAUGUCAUCGACUGGAUGCACACAAUUUUGUGAAGCUGCCCCCAUUCAAAGCCACCAACCGCAGCCUGGAGGAGCCCACAAAGCAGUGAACACAGAUGGGACCUGCCCACCACACACUGAAGAGUGAAUGCUCUUCAGGAAAAUACUUCCAAGGAGUGUGUUCUUGGACAGAAUAUUCCAUUUUGUUACUGAGAAACAGACAAUUUCUAGUUUGAUGGUAAAAUUAUUUCCUUCAAAUAUAUAUAUAUUUACAUUUCAGGAAGGUGCUUGGAGUUUUAUGAACUCAAGAAGUUUACCUUCAGAAACAGUAAUUAUUCCCAUUACAACUAAAAUGGGGAAAAAAGAAAAAAAAAGUCUUUUGGGUGUCCUCCCUCUCUAGUGUCAAUGGCAACUUCUUUCCCAUACAUAAUCUGUCACUGAUUUGAAAAGUCCUAGCCAGGAAACACUUCAGCAAGAAAGGACACAACCUUCACAGCAUUGUGUCCCACACAUUUGCUUGGCCUACGGCUCCUAUAUUUGAAAAUAAAAUAUUAACUCUGA
Molecule: non-coding RNA, 630 nt
Organism: Ictidomys tridecemlineatus (thirteen-lined ground squirrel)
Lineage: Eukaryota; Metazoa; Chordata; Mammalia; Rodentia; Sciuridae
Source: RefSeq, a predicted model, not a curated record